Molecule: microRNA, 22 nt
Filed under: Mus musculus (house mouse)
Lineage: Eukaryota; Metazoa; Chordata; Mammalia; Rodentia; Muridae
Also listed under: 1 other name
Description: mmu-miR-674-5p
Gene: mmu-miR-674-5p
Source: miRBase by way of RNAcentral
GCACUGAGAUGGGAGUGGUGUA